GAUGAACGCUGGCGGCGUGCCUAAUACAUGCAAGUCGAGCGAACAGAUAAGGAGCUUGCUCCUUUGACGUUAGCGGCGGACGGGUGAGUAACACGUGGGUAACCUACCUAUAAGACUGGGAUAACUUCGGGAAAACGGAGCUAAUACCGGAUAACAUUUGGAACCGCAUGGUUCUAAAGUGAAAGAUGGUUUUGCUAUCACUUAUAGAUGGACCCGCGCCGUAUUAGCUAGUUGGUAAGGUAACGGCUUACCAAGGCGACGAUACGUAGCCGACCUGAGAGGGUGAUCGGCCACACUGGAACUGAGACACGGUCCAGACUCCUACGGGAGGCAGCAGUAGGGAAUCUUCCGCAAUGGGCGAAAGCCUGACGGAGCAACGCCGCGUGAGUGAUGAAGGGUUUCGGCUCGUAAAACUCUGUUAUUAGGGAAGAACAAAUGUGUAAGUAACUGUGCACGUCUUGACGGUACCUAAUCAGAAAGCCACGGCUAAUUACGUG
This 497-nucleotide ribosomal RNA is filed under the name uncultured bacterium. Its description in RNAcentral is "partial 16S ribosomal RNA". It matches the Rfam family "Bacterial small subunit ribosomal RNA", at positions 28 to 507 of the family's 1533-position model. The record is from RNAcentral.